Molecule: ribosomal RNA, 340 nt
Filed under: uncultured Acidovorax sp.
Lineage: Bacteria; Pseudomonadati; Pseudomonadota; Betaproteobacteria; Burkholderiales; Comamonadaceae
Description: bacterial SSU rRNA
Rfam family: Bacterial small subunit ribosomal RNA
Source: RNAcentral
CUGCAUGGCUGUCGUCAGCUCGUAUCGUGAGAUGUUGGGUUAAGUCCCGCAACGAGCGCAACCCUUGUCAUUAGUUGCUACAUUCAGUUGGGCACUCUAAUGAGACUGCCGGUGACAAACCGGAGGAAGGUGGGGAUGACGUCAAGUCCUCAUGGCCCUUAUAGGUGGGGCUACACACGUCAUACAAUGGAUGGUACAAAGGGUCGCCAACCCGCGAGGGGGGAGCCAAUCCCAUAAAGCCAUUCGUAGUCCGGAUCGCAGUCUGCAACUCGACUGCGUGAAGUCGGAAUCGCUAGUAAUCGUGGAUCAGAAUGUCACGGUGAAUACGUUCCCGGGUCUU